CCUACGGGUGGCUGCAGUGGGGAAUAUUGGACAAUGGGGGCAACCCUGAUCCAGCCAUGCCGCGUGUGUGAAGAAGGCCCUCGGGUUGUAAAGCACUUUCAGUGAGGAAGAACGCCUGGUGGUUAAUACCCAUCAGGAAAGACAUCACUCACAGAAGAAGCACCGGCUAACUCCGUGCCGGCAGCCGCGGUAAUACGGAGGGUGCGAGCGUUAAUCGGAAUUACUGGGCGUAAAGCGCGCGUAGGUGGCUUGAUAAGCCGGUUGUGAAAGCCCCGGGCUCAACCUGGGAACGGCAUCCGGAACUGUCAAGCUAGAGUGCAGGAGAGGAAGGUAGAAUUCCCGGUGUAGCGGUGAAAUGCGUAGAGAUCGGGAGGAAUACCAGUGGCGAAGGCGGCCUUCUGGACUGACACUGACACUGAGGUGCGAAAGCGUGGGUAGCAAACAGGAUUAGAUACCCUUGUAGUC
Molecule: ribosomal RNA, 465 nt
Filed under: Vreelandella stevensii
Lineage: Bacteria; Pseudomonadati; Pseudomonadota; Gammaproteobacteria; Oceanospirillales; Halomonadaceae
Description: partial 16S ribosomal RNA
Rfam family: Bacterial small subunit ribosomal RNA
Source: RNAcentral